Molecule: transfer RNA, 74 nt
Filed under: Candidatus Thorarchaeota archaeon
Lineage: Archaea; Promethearchaeati; Candidatus Thorarchaeota
Description: tRNA-Ile
Rfam family: tRNA
About the family: Transfer RNA (tRNA) molecules are approximately 80 nucleotides in length.
Source: RNAcentral
GCUCCCGUAUCUCAACGGUAGAGAGGUGGUUUUAUAAGCGUACGAUGUCGGUUCGAGUCCGGCCGGGAGUACCA